RNAcentral lists this transfer RNA (74 nucleotides) under Ruminobacter sp. RNAcentral's name for it is "tRNA-Gly". It matches the Rfam family "tRNA". From Rfam's summary of the family: Transfer RNA (tRNA) molecules are approximately 80 nucleotides in length. Their secondary structure includes four short double-helical elements and three loops (D, anti-codon, and T loops). The record is from RNAcentral. RNAcentral also lists the same sequence under 1 other name. Lineage: Bacteria; Pseudomonadati; Pseudomonadota; Gammaproteobacteria; Aeromonadales; Succinivibrionaceae.
GCGGGCGUAAUUCAAUGGCAGAAUGAAAGCUUCCCAAGCUUUACACGCGGGUUCGAUUCCCGUCGCCCGCUCCA